AUUGAACGCUGGCGGCAUGCCUUACACAUGCAAGUCGAACGGUAACGGGCCUUCGGGUGCCGACGAGUGGCGAACGGGUGCGUAAUACAUCGGCAUGUGCCCGCUCGUGGGGGGUCACGAGGCGCAAGCUUUGCUAAUACCUCAUACGAUCUACGAUUUAGAGCAGGAGGCCGCAAUGCUUUGCGCGGGCGUUGCGGCCGCUGGCAGAUUAGGUAGUUGGUCGGGUAAAAGCUGACCAAGCCGACGAUUUGUAGCUGGUCUGAGAGGAUGAUCCGCCACACUGGGACUGAGACACGGCCCAGACUCCUACGGGAGGCAGCAGUGGGGAAUUUUGGACAAUGGGCGCAAGCCUGAUGCAGCCAUGCCGCGUGCAGGAUGAAGGCCUUCGGGUUGUAAACUGCUUUUGUACGGAACGAAAAGCCUUCUUUUAAUACAGGAGGGUCAUGACGGUACCGAAAGAAUAAGCACCGGCUAACUACGUG
This 482-nucleotide ribosomal RNA is filed under the name uncultured bacterium. RNAcentral's name for it is "partial 16S ribosomal RNA". It matches the Rfam family "Bacterial small subunit ribosomal RNA", at positions 30 to 507 of the family's 1533-position model. The record is from RNAcentral.